Molecule: transfer RNA, 71 nt
Filed under: Heterocephalus glaber (naked mole-rat)
Lineage: Eukaryota; Metazoa; Chordata; Mammalia; Rodentia; Bathyergidae
Rfam family: tRNA
About the family: Transfer RNA (tRNA) molecules are approximately 80 nucleotides in length.
Source: Rfam by way of RNAcentral
GGGGCUGUGCCUCAGGGUAGAGCACUUGCCUAGCAUAGGGGAGGCCCUGGGUUCCAUCCCCAGCAGCCCCC